This 406-nucleotide ribosomal RNA is filed under the name uncultured bacterium. Its description in RNAcentral is "bacterial SSU rRNA". It matches the Rfam family "Bacterial small subunit ribosomal RNA", at positions 505 to 916 of the family's 1533-position model. The record is from RNAcentral.
GUGUCAGCAGCCGCGGUAAUACGUAGGGUGCGAGCGUUGUCCGGAAUUACUGGGCGUAAAGAGCUCGUAGGCGGUUUGUCGCGUCGUCUGUGAAAUUCUGCAGCUUAACUGCAGGCGAUACGGGCAGACUUGAGUACUACAGGGGAGACUGGAAUUCCUGGUGUAGCGGUGAAAUGCGCAGAUAUCAGGAGGAACACCGGUGGCGAAGGCGGGUCUCUGGGUAGUUACUGACGCUGAGGAGCGAAAGCGUGGGGAGCAAACAGGAUUAGAUACCCUGGUAGUCCACGCCGUAAACGGUGGGUACUAGGUGUGGGUUCCAUUUCACGGGAUCCGUGCCGUAGCUAACGCAUUAAGUACCCCGCCUGGGGAGUACGGCCGCAAGGCUAAAACUUAAAGGAAUUGGCGG